Molecule: ribosomal RNA, 237 nt
Filed under: uncultured Actinomycetales bacterium
Lineage: Bacteria; Bacillati; Actinomycetota; Actinomycetes; Actinomycetales
Description: partial 16S ribosomal RNA
Rfam family: Bacterial small subunit ribosomal RNA
Source: RNAcentral
UGGCGAACGGGUGAGCAACACGUGAGUAACCUGCCCUUGACUUUGGGAUAACUUCAGGAAACUGGGGCUAAUACCGGAUAGGAGCUCCUGCUGCAUGGUGGGGGUUGGAAAGUUUCGGCGGUUGGGGAUGGACUCGCGGCUUAUCAGCUUGUUGGUGGGGUAGUGGCUUACCAAGGCUUUGACGGGUAGCCGGCCUGAGAGGGUGACCGGCCACAUUGGGACUGAGAUACGGCCCAG